This 301-nucleotide ribosomal RNA is filed under the name uncultured bacterium. RNAcentral describes it as "partial 16S ribosomal RNA". It matches the Rfam family "Bacterial small subunit ribosomal RNA", at positions 509 to 807 of the family's 1533-position model. The record is from RNAcentral.
CAGUCGCCGCGGUAAUACGGAGGGAGCUAGCGUUGUUCGGAAUUACUGGGCGUAAAGCGCACGUAGGCGGUUAUUCAAGUCAGAGGUGAAAGCCCGGGGCUCAACCCCGGAACUGCCUUUGAAACUAGAUGACUGGAAUCUUGGAGGGGUCAGUGGAAUUCCGAGUGUAGAGGUGAAAUUCGUAGAUAUUCGGAAGAACACCAGUGGCGAAGGCGACUGACUGGACAAGUAUUGACGCUGAGGUGCGAAAGCGUGGGGAGCAAACAGGAUUAGAUACCCCCGUAGUCCCUGUCUCUUAUAC